This 406-nucleotide long non-coding RNA is filed under the name Polistes fuscatus (common paper wasp). RNAcentral describes it as "uncharacterized LOC122522536". Lineage: Eukaryota; Metazoa; Arthropoda; Insecta; Hymenoptera; Vespidae. The record is from RNAcentral.
GGGAUAUAUUUAAAAGUGAUUUUCAAAGUAACAACCUAUAGGGUAGUGAAAAGAAAUAGGUUAAUCAUUCAUAAUAUUUAAACAAUAGUUCUUGUUUCAACAACCAAAAGAAAGUCACUAAACUUUGUUUUAAUUAAGAUAUACAGGAACAUGAUGGAAAAUUAGAAAAGCAGUGUAAGGUUUAUAUACAUAUGUUGAGUAUAUAUAUAUAUUAAAUUAAUCUUACCAAGUGGUAAAUUUAUGGCUCACGAUUACAAUCAGUUAACAGUCACAAUUUUUUAUCAUAAUAAACGACAUGCUACAAAAGACAUAAGAGAAUAUAUUCGAAUAUUUUCUUCAUAAUAAGCCAGCCUAUGGGUUGUCAAUUUACUCAACAAUGAUGAUAUAUUUUCUAAUAACUGUGGCG